Python bivittatus (Burmese python) is the source of this 1942-nucleotide long non-coding RNA. RefSeq lists it as uncharacterized. The record is from RefSeq and is a predicted model, not a curated record. Lineage: Eukaryota; Metazoa; Chordata; Lepidosauria; Squamata; Pythonidae.
AUCUGUCCAUUCCCCUGGCUGUGCCUCUUAACCCUGUCCCCUAAUAUCAUUCCCACAUACCAUUACACAUUCAUUCCUGAACCAAGAGACUCUCCUUACAGUCAUUCAUGUUUGGUUUCCUUGUGAAUGGAACACUUCAAUGUGCUCUACAUGGGAUGGUCCAUCAAGAUCACUCAGAAGCUGCAACUGAUCCAGAAUACAGAGGAGAGCCACUGCUGGAACUUGGACAGUAGCUUGCUGAUCAUGGCCAGGUACUAUGGACCCUCCCCAGGGAUGUAGCUGAGCAUCAGACAACUGGUUAUCAGAGUUGCUGCAAUCAAUUAGGGAUUAAAUUAUGAGCAAGAAGCUACAUUUGUUGUACCUGUAGAUCUACCAAACCAGAAAUAUUAAAGUGCAUUCAUUCAAAUGUUGAUACCCAACAACAUCCCAAGGAUUAUGACCAUGGCUAGAUCACAACUGAUGCUAAUGCAGAAUGCUAGCUGGAACCAGGAGAGAAAGGCCUUUCAUCAAAGGAGCAGACACCACUGCCAUAUCGAGGACCAGAAAAACCUCCAGUGCUACUUGAUGUUCCUCUUUAUUCAGAGACUCAAGCGCAUUGAAGCAAAUACAAGUUUGCCACUUUUAUUGUUCACACUCUCACUAAAAGUUCUACUUAUUCAUGCAUACAUGAAUACCAACAUACCUCAGUGUCUAACUGGCCAGGCUAGGCUUGAGUUUCAGAAGAAUCACUCACCAUGACUCAUUCUAUAUGAUGGCUCCAUAGGAUUAUACUUUCCAUACAUUUUAAUCUUCCAACUUGGUUUGACCACUCUAUCAAACUUGGUGGCUCCCACUUUCACAUGUUUCUCCUGGUAUUUUUCCACCAGAGUGCUACUGCCUCACCCAGUUUAUAUAGGAACUCUAUGGUUUGGGGAACUCUCUCAUCAUGUCUUCUUCAGAGUCAUGUCUUCUCUACUUGCUGUGUCUGUGAAUUAUAAGUGGCAAUUUUAUAAUAAUAUAUGCUUAAAAUCUGCCAAAUCAUGGAAAUUUCCACUGGACAGUAUAGUGAUAAUAAUAUUGCUGUAUUUACUAUGUAUGCACUUAAGAUACAUUCUUUGGAAAAUUUCUUUCACAAAAAUUAAGUGUUUGGAUUUCACUUCAAAUCAUAAACUCUUGAACUUCUUCCGCUUCAAAAAUAAAUAAAACCCAACCAAGGCAACACAUAAGAUGACUAAUAAACUUUAAGAGCUUUUUAUUUCCUAUAACAAUAUUUGCACCCAUAUUAUAAAUAAGGAAGGGUGUAUUCCUUGUAACAAUCUUAUCAGUUAUUCAGAAAUAAGUAACAGUUGGUAAGGUUUGAAAUGCCAUAACGACAUAGUAAUGCAAUUGAAAUAUCUCUUCUGGAUUAUCUAAAAUAAUUGCCCCUACUAAAAGUCUAAUAAAUAAAACUUGAACUCAGAAACUAGGACUCAGGGAUGGAUAUAUAUUUCAUUCAACUGAAAGUGUUCAGGUCAAAGUUGUAUUUUCUUAUUGCUGAAUUAAAUCAAGUCAAAGGUGAAGAAUACAAGGGUGAUGAAAUAUAAUCUUUUGAUAGUGUCCCAAAAUGACUCUAGGGAGAAAAAAAAAAAUCAGAUAAUUGAGGAAUGUGAGUGUGAGAAAAAUUAUUGUACAUUUGUUGAUUUAGAGAAAGUGUAUGAUAAAGUGAAUAAGGUUGAAUUAUGGAACAUUUUGUGUAAAUAUAGAGUUGAAGGUAGGUUGCUGAAUGUGUUAGCAGCAGUAUGUGAUGGAAGUAGAUCAAGCAUGAGAAUAAAUGGAAUGCUUAAUGAACAUUGAGCAAAAAGUAAAACAAGACUGUAUGAUGUUCUCUUUGGCUAUUUAAUGUAUUUAUCAAUAAAUAUAUAAGGAAUGCUUGUGGUGGUCGCAGAUAUGGUUUGUCUGGGUUCAUAUUUAGGACCCUCUUAAC